This 490-nucleotide ribosomal RNA is filed under the name uncultured bacterium. RNAcentral describes it as "partial 16S ribosomal RNA". It matches the Rfam family "Bacterial small subunit ribosomal RNA", at positions 30 to 507 of the family's 1533-position model. The record is from RNAcentral.
AUUGAACGCUGGCGGCAGGCCUAACACAUGCAAGUCGAACGGUAACAGGAAGAAGCUUGCUUCUUUGCUGCCGAGUGGCGGACGGGUGAGUAAUGUCUGGGAAACUGCCUGAUGGAGGGGGAUAACUACUGGAAACGGUAGCUAAUACCGCAUAACGUCGCAAGACCAAAGAGGGGGACUUUCGGGCCUCUUGCCAUCGGAUGUGCCCAGAUGGGAUUAGCUAGUAGGUGGGGUAACGGCUCACCUAGGCGACGAUCCCUAGCUGGUCUGAGAGGAUGACCAGCCACACUGGAACUGAGACACGGUCCAGACUCCUACGGGAGGCAGCAGUGGGGAAUAUUGCACAAUGGGCGCAAGCCUGAUGCAGCCAUGCCGCGUGUAUGAAGAAGGCCUUCGGGUUGUAAAGUACUUUCAGCGGGGAGGAAGGGAGUAAAGUUAAUACCUUUGCUCAUUGACGUUACCCGCAGAAGAAGCACCGGCUAACUCCGUG